Molecule: ribosomal RNA, 393 nt
Filed under: uncultured bacterium
Lineage: Bacteria
Description: partial 16S ribosomal RNA
Rfam family: Bacterial small subunit ribosomal RNA
Source: RNAcentral
AUACGGAAGGUCCGGGCGUUAUCCGGAUUUAUUGGGUUUAAAGGGAGCGCAGGCGGAGAUGCAAGCGUGACGUCAAAUUUCGGGGCUCAACCCCGUCUCGCGUCGCGAACUGCGUCCCUUGGUUGCGGGAAGGGGAGGCGGAACUCGGGGUAUAGCGGGGAAAUGCAUAGAUAUCACGAAGAACUCCGAUCGCGAAGGCAGCCUUCCGGCCCGUCAACGACGCUCAUGCUCGAAGGUGCGGGUAUCAAACAGGAUUAGAUACCCUGGUAGUCCGCACAGUAAACGAUGGACACCCGCGGUUUGGCCUGUAUGGCUGAGCCGCCAAGCGAAAGCGUUAAGUGUCCCACCUGGGGAGUACGCCGGCAACGGUGAAACUCAAAUGAAUUGACGGGG